Molecule: ribosomal RNA, 1882 nt
Filed under: Triticum aestivum (bread wheat)
Lineage: Eukaryota; Viridiplantae; Streptophyta; Magnoliopsida; Poales; Poaceae
Description: partial small subunit ribosomal RNA
Source: RNAcentral
CACAACUCUUGAAGCGACGUCCAGUUUCUCUGUACCUAGGAACUGUUUGUCUCAAACCACCUACACGUCGGAAAACAGUAAGACCACAUAAAAGUAACGUUUAUUGUUCUUCCGUUAGAGUUGAACAAGUAACUAGAGAAGGUCUGGUACCAAGUAUGUAGAUACUAACGUUGACGGUUAAUUUUGUUAUACUGCAUGUUAUUAUGUCCAACGUGUAGACUAUGACUUCAAAGUACCAAGGUCUGUCUCCAUACGUUGUAUUUGUGAACUCGUCAGGAAGAAAAACAAAGAGUUUAAAAGUAGGUAAUAAACAAUAGACUAUGACUUCAAAGUACCAAGGUCCCCUACGGUUUAAAGAUAUCAAUGAAUAAAAGAGUUAGGUUUUCUGUAUGGAAGUCAUAUAACAUGAGGGAGGCAGGGUUUUAUUCACAGAGUUGUAAUCAUGUUCAAUCAUGUUUCAACUCGGUGACUAAAACCCUGUACCCCUCAUAUAUAUUGAUUAACAGAUCUUGAUAAAAACGAAAAACAUUUCUUCGUCACGUAUGGUACAGUAUUAACUCUACUACCAAAGUAUAACCUUUAUAUACCACGUAAGUAUGUUCUCGGGUACGACCCGUCUGAAUAAAGAGGCACCGUACCCAAAUUUACAUCAUUGAACACAAAUACGAAAUGAAAGGCCACGAAUCGUCACGGGAACAGUUCAUAUAUCCCUGCCUUUUACGAUAAGUAGUACUGUUAGAAUCCGCUACAAGUCGUUUUUAACUCCGUGAUAUGGCUGAUUUACAAGUCCGAAAGAGGUUUGUCGCCUCUAAGUUCCACUAAUUAUCAGUUUAUCUUGAAGAGAGGUAAGCACAGAUUUCUCUUCCAUAUUCACUACCAGCCGGACCACUACUCCCGUAGUUCUGUUUCACUAAUUAAGCGUUGAGACAAGAACUAACCAAAAAUGUUUAUGUGUUCCAUGAUGGCAAAGGAAGAUACAAAUUUACCGAAACACUCGUGUUGAUAAACCUUUAAGACGCUAAGUACCACCUUCGUUCGUAGAAACAAAAGGGCCGGCUUUUAUGAAUCAAAGUAUCUAAAAGACUCAGCUGGUAAAGAAUCUAAAAGACUCAAGUCUCGACUUAACUCGUAAAGAAUCUAAAGGACUCAAGUCUCGAAAAUAAUAGAGAAGCCAUUAGACAUCUUCAAAUGAAAAGGACACCGCAGGUAAGUAAAGCUUUCGAUAAACGUACGUGUGACCGUACAGUAACAAACACACGGGGGAAUGACGAAGAAUGAGGUAAAUAUUCACCACUUUUUAUAAAAGGGCUCAACUUAAAAUACAUACUUCGGAGAACAACUUUCCGGAAGAAGAUAACAUAUGACUGCAAACGUAACGUACUAUUUCGAUAUAGUUGUGACGAGAAACAAAACAACAAGUGAAAACAUAAAGGGAAACCUUUACUGUUUUCACCCCAAAAGAAAACAUCGAACGACCUAAAGAAUCAAUCCCCUUCAACAAAUUAUUUACUAUAACGGUCAUAAAACGGAUGUACCGAUUUCUUCUUUGGUUUGGUUCCUUUUAGACCUAAAAAAAAUAUCAUAGGGUGUAUUACGUUUUGUUAGCUAGGUCUAAAAUGUGUAUUGAACUAAGUAAGCACAAAACAAAUAAACACAAGACCAUGAUCGUGUCAACCACUGAAUUCGAAGUAGUUAUAGUCUACAAGAAAAAAAGAACGAACGUGUCAACCACUGAACUCGAAGUAGUUAUAGUCAACAAAAAAAGUAAGCAUUUGUCUCAUCGUAGUGUGCUCAAGGUUCAAAAUACCGUCCAAUAACAUUACAUAGAAGUCUCUACAUGUAAUCUCUUUAACAGUCGGUUGUUAACUUAAUCCAUAUGUAC